RNAcentral lists this ribosomal RNA (253 nucleotides) under uncultured bacterium. Its description in RNAcentral is "partial 16S ribosomal RNA". It matches the Rfam family "Bacterial small subunit ribosomal RNA", at positions 524 to 776 of the family's 1533-position model. The record is from RNAcentral.
UACGACGGUGGCAAGCGUUACUCGGAAUUACUAGGCGUAAAGGGCAGGUAGGUGGUUUUGUAAGUCUAUUGUGAAAGCUCCCGGCUUAACUGGGAGAGGUCAAUGGAUACUGCAGAACUUGAGUAUAGGAGAGGUUACUGGAAUUCCCGGUGUAGCGGUGAAAUGCGCAGAGAUCGGGAGGAACACCAAUGGCGAAAGCAGGUAACUGGACUAUUACUGACACUCAGCUGCGAAAGCUAGGGGAGCAAACAGG